Molecule: ribosomal RNA, 469 nt
Filed under: uncultured bacterium
Lineage: Bacteria
Description: bacterial SSU rRNA
Rfam family: Bacterial small subunit ribosomal RNA
Source: RNAcentral
CGCUGGCGGCAGGCCUAACACAUGCAAGUCGAGCGGAUGAAAGGAGCUUGCUCCUGGAUUCAGCGGCGGACGGGUGAGUAAUGUCUAGGAAUCUGCCUGGUAGUGGGGGACAACGUUUCGAAAGGAACGCUAAUACCGCAUACGUCCUACGGGAGAAAGCAGGGGACCUUCGGGCCUUGCGCUAUCAGAUGAGCCUAGGUCGGAUUAGCUAGUUGGUGAGGUAAUGGCUCACCAAGGCGACGAUCCGUAACUGGUCUGAGAGGAUGAUCAGUCACACUGGAACUGAGACACGGUCCAGACUCCUACGGGAGGCAGCAGUGGGGAAUAUUGGACAAUGGGCGAAAGCCUGAUCCAGCCAUGCCGCGUGUGUGAAGAAGGUCUUCGGAUUGUAAAGCACUUUAAGUUGGGAGGAAGGGUUGUAGAUUAAUACUCUGCAAUUUUGACGUUACCGACAGAAUAAGCACCGGCU